GGGAAAGCAAACCGUAGAAUUCAGGCUGGCAGGGAGGAAGGGAGGAGAAUGCUAUGAGGAAGGGAACAGGUAGGCUUCAGGGUUAUUUGGUUUUGGUAAAAAAAAAAAUAUUUGGUAAAAAAAAAUUAAACUAUUUCUUAAGCUAGGUGGUAGACAGACACUCUUUGGUGUGUAUGGUAUAUUUCACAAUGGAAAAAAAUACAUUAAAUUUCUAGUGAUUGCCCUUCUCCUUCCCUUCAGAAUAAAAUUCAGGUACAGAAAGCUGCCGGGAGCCGGUCUCUAGGUAUAGUUACCACUGCCGCGUGACAAGGUCCGCCAGUGGGCUGAGAAAUUGCAAGGCAAUUCUCAAGGGUUAAUAGGGAAAGUGCAAAGCAUCUGUGUAUGUAUCAUGCUUUUACUUUUGCUAUUUUUAUCCUGGAACUGCUGGGGAAUUAGGGGAAGUUCUGCUGGUCAGCUUCCUCCUUCCUCCCCUCAUAAAGUAGGUCAGAGGAACAUUGAUGGCCAUCCCAUAAGAGGAACUUGGCCAAAUCAGGAAAUUUUUACAGGAGGUAAAUGGUGGCACCCACCCAGGAACAGAGGCAUGCAAGAACUACCCCUUCCUAAGGCAACUCACGAUCCUGAUAAAGUUGCAAAGAAAUAUCAUAAUAUAUUGACACAGAGGAAUUGGGAUUAUGAUGAGGAUUGAGAACCCUAUAAAAUAGUUAAUGGUAAAAGAGAAACCCCAAGCACUGUGCCUGUGUGGCUUUCAAUCCCCUUAUACUUUGCAAUACUUCUGCUUUCAUUAUUACAGGAAUAAAGAUAGAGGCUUAGGGCCAUUCGACCCAUGAGAAACUAAGUCUAGACAUUACACCCCAUUUUGUAAUCAGUCUUAAACAUCUAGGCGCCUGGUAGACAUAUAGAAAAGGUCAAUAUCUAUAAUUAACAAAGGUUGCUUGCUUCUCACAGACAUACUGUGCUAAUAUUGUAACAAGAUACGCUUAUAUACCCAUUUUGUUUGCCAAAAUUAUGUACUGAAAUAAUUCCAUGAAAUCAUAAACACAUGACCUGGACCCUAUAUAAGUGCUUGAAUACUUCGAAUAAAUCAGACUUGGAAACCUCACUCCUUGUCUCACUGCAUCUCUCUCUCGCCGACUCCGUCCAUCCCUUCGGGAGACCCUGGACUCUGCUGGGGCUGGACCCUGGCAGAAAGCCAACAUGAUCUGCCCCUCUCCCACCCCUUUACCUUUCUCUCACCCUGGACUCUCCCAAGUUCUCCACACUCUAAUCAUGCAAACCUUCUUUCUGUUCCUUUAACACUCUACGUUCAUUCUCAACCUUGCAUUUUUCUCUUCCUUCUGCUUAUAACUGUUUCCUCGUGAUCUGUGUAGGACUAACUCCUUUUCACCAUUCAGGUCUCAACUCAAACAUCACCUCACCAGAAAGACUUUCCCUGAACAUCUCAUAGCAGUACUUGGGAAUUGCUAUUCAUUGACACCACAUGUGAAGAAACUUGCCAGGAUUGACUGCAAAAUCUAUCAGUUGAAGCAGAUGCUGAAAGACAGCAAAACUACAGCUAGAAUUUCUCAUCUGAAUUUCUCUCUUAAUCCCUGCUGGGAAUGAGAGGAGGAGAGCACAGAGCAACAAAGACAGACUUCACCACUCGAAACAACAGGAACAGCAAGACGCCUCAAACAGGACACCGUCAAAGUUACACAAGCAAUCACAACAACAGGGAUUUCAUAAUGUUCCAAAGUUCUAGCAGGACUCGGAGGAGGAAUGUGCCAACCACCCACAUCUGAAUCUCAUGGAUGCUAGUCUAAAAUGCAGCUUCUGGAGCCCACCCUAGGAGUGAAUCAGAAUCUUAAGAAGGAGCCUGAGAAUCUGAAUUUUAAACAGACUUGCAUUGAUAUAUAUGCAAAUUAAAGUUUGAGAACAAUUGGCCUAGGUGAAUUUUUUAAGAUGUGCACAAACAGACCUCACACAUGUUUUAUUAACAGCAGUUAAAAGUUUUCUUCCUGAUCCUUGGUUAAAAUAACAUCCUUGGCAUAGUCACGGUGCUAUAAUACAAAGAGCUGAUGCCUGAAUGCCUCCUUCCAGCUCUAUAAAUAACAAAUUGUUAUCCCUUGAAAUCAAUAAAAUAGAAAGCUUUCCUUCCUUAUUUCUUUCCUCUUAUAUCCUCCUCUUCAUAUUCUCUGCCCUAGUAACUCACCCUGAUGAAACUAAAAAUAAAUAAAUAAAAAGAGAGCGAUGGCACUUCAUUCACAAUCUCUCCCCCGUGUGGCAUGGAUCAUUCAAGUGAUGAAUUGCAUAUGCUUGCUAGUGGCUCAACAACUUGGUUAUUUAGUUAUUUUAGAGCUUUUAGUCAGCCUCCUUGAUUUAUUGCCUUAGGAAAUAACAAUAUAUUCCAAGACCAGGGAGAUAUCUCUCUAUGUAUCUAA
Molecule: long non-coding RNA, 2417 nt
Organism: Equus caballus (horse)
Lineage: Eukaryota; Metazoa; Chordata; Mammalia; Perissodactyla; Equidae
Source: RefSeq, a predicted model, not a curated record